RNAcentral lists this ribosomal RNA (108 nucleotides) under Lulworthiaceae sp. BN1. Its description in RNAcentral is "partial 5.8S ribosomal RNA". It matches the Rfam family "5.8S ribosomal RNA", at positions 51 to 154 of the family's 154-position model. From Rfam's summary of the family: 5.8S ribosomal RNA (5.8S rRNA) is a component of the large subunit of the eukaryotic ribosome. The record is from RNAcentral. Lineage: Eukaryota; Fungi; Ascomycota; Sordariomycetes; Lulworthiales; Lulworthiaceae.
AAAUGCGAUACGUAAUGCGAAUUGCAGAAUUCCAGCGAGUCAUCGAAUCUUUGAACGCAUAUUGCGCCCGCCGGCAUCCCGGCGGGCACGCCUGUCCGAGCGUCAUGA